RNAcentral lists this small nuclear RNA (107 nucleotides) under Phocoena sinus (vaquita). RNAcentral also lists the same sequence under 1 other name. Lineage: Eukaryota; Metazoa; Chordata; Mammalia; Artiodactyla; Phocoenidae. The record is from RNAcentral.
GUGCUCGCUUGAGCAGCACAUAUACUAAAAUUGAAACAAUGCAGAGAAGAUUAGCAUGGCCCCUGUGCAAGGAUGACACGCAAAUUUGUGAAGCGUUCCAUAUUUUA